This 266-nucleotide ribosomal RNA is filed under the name uncultured bacterium. Its description in RNAcentral is "partial 16S ribosomal RNA". It matches the Rfam family "Bacterial small subunit ribosomal RNA", at positions 793 to 1055 of the family's 1533-position model. The record is from RNAcentral.
GUCCACGCCCUAAACGAUGUCAACUAGGUGUUGGGGAAGGAGACUUCUUUAGUACCGCAGCUAACGCGUGAAGUUGACCGCCUGGGGAGUACGGUCGCAAGAUUAAAACUCAAAGGAAUUGACGGGGACCCGCACAAGCGGUGGAUUAUGUGGAUUAAUUCGAUGCAACGCGAAAAACCUUACCUACCCUUGACAUGUCAUAAAGAUCGCAGAGAUGUGAUUGUGCCCGAAAGGGAAUCUGAACACAGGUGCUGCAUGGCUGUCGU